GCGGAGGUGGUGGAAUUUGGUAGACACGUACGUUUGAGGGGCGUAUGGGGCAACCCGUGCGGGUUCAAGUCCCGCCCUCCGCA
This 83-nucleotide transfer RNA is filed under the name Candidatus Latescibacterota bacterium. Its description in RNAcentral is "tRNA-Leu". It matches the Rfam family "tRNA". Rfam says of the family: Transfer RNA (tRNA) molecules are approximately 80 nucleotides in length. Lineage: Bacteria; Pseudomonadati; Candidatus Latescibacterota. RNAcentral also lists the same sequence under 1 other name. The record is from RNAcentral.